CCGAUCUUAGCUCAGUUGGUAGAGCGGGAGACUGUAGUGAGCCCCGAAAAGGGCUAAAUUGUCAUCUCUAGGUCGCUAGUUCGAAUCUGGCAGAUCGGA
Non-coding RNA from Umbelopsis sp. AD052, 99 nucleotides. The record is from the annotation of a GenBank genome assembly. Lineage: Eukaryota; Fungi; Mucoromycota; Umbelopsidomycetes; Umbelopsidales; Umbelopsidaceae.